Molecule: non-coding RNA, 175 nt
Filed under: Fusibacter sp. 3D3
Lineage: Bacteria; Bacillati; Bacillota; Clostridia; Eubacteriales; Fusibacteraceae
Also listed under: 1 other name
Source: RNAcentral
UUGAAUCAAUUGAUAUUAAGUGAUAACUAAAAGGGAAUCAGGUGAGAAUCCUGAGCGAUCCGGUCACUGUAAUCAGGGAGUGAAAUCUUCAAAACCAUUGUGUGGAAACAUAUGAGAAGGGAAGAUGAAACGUUGAUCUGUAAGUCAGGAAACCUGCUUAAUAUUGGGAGAUGAA